This 459-nucleotide ribosomal RNA is filed under the name uncultured bacterium. Its description in RNAcentral is "partial 16S ribosomal RNA". It matches the Rfam family "Bacterial small subunit ribosomal RNA", at positions 339 to 795 of the family's 1533-position model. The record is from RNAcentral.
CUACGGGGCGCUGCAGUAAGGAAUAUUGCGCAAUGGAGGCAACUCUGACGCAGCCAUGCCGCGUGCAGGAAGAAGGCCUUAUGGGUCGUAAACUGCUUUUAUUUAGGAAUAAACCCCCGAACGUGUUCGGGGCUGAAGGCACUAAACGAAUAAGCACCGGCUAACUCCGUGCCAGCAGCCGCGGUAAUACGGAGGGUGCAAGCGUUAUCCGGAUUUAUUGGGUUUAAAGGGUGCGCAGGCGGGCUAUUAAGUCAGUGGUGAAAUCCCGGGGCUCAACUCCGGAACUGCCAUUGAUACUGAUAGUCUUGAGUUUGGUUGAAGUGGGCGGAAUGUAGCAUGUAGCGGUGAAAUGCAUAGAUAUGCUACAGAACACCAAUCGCGAAGGCAGCUCACUAAGCCAAAACUGACGCUCAUGCACGAAAGCGUGGGGAUCAAACAGGAUUAGAUACCCUAGUAGUC